RNAcentral lists this ribosomal RNA (441 nucleotides) under uncultured bacterium. RNAcentral's name for it is "partial 16S ribosomal RNA". It matches the Rfam family "Bacterial small subunit ribosomal RNA", at positions 338 to 795 of the family's 1533-position model. The record is from RNAcentral.
CCUACGAGAGGCUGCAGUGGGGAAUAUUGCACAAUGGGGGAAACCCUGAUGCAGCGACGCCGCGUGAGCGAGGAAGUAUUUCGGUAUGUAACGCUCUAUCAGCAGGGACGAAACAAGACGGUACCUGACUAAGAAGCCCCGGCUAACUACGUGCCAGCAGCCGCGGUAAUACGUAGGGGGCAAGCGUUAUCCGGAUUUACUGGGUGGAAAGGGAGCGUAGACGGCAAGGCAAGCCAGAAGUGAAAGGGCAGGGCUCAACCCUGUACAUGCUUUUGGAACUGGGGUGCUAGAGUGCAGGAGAGGUAAGUGGAAUUCCUAGUGUAGCGGUGAAAUGCGUAGAUAUUAGGAGGAACACCAGUGGCGAAGGCGGCUUACUGGACUGUAACUGACGUUGAGGCUCGAAAGCGUGGGGAGCAAACAGGAUUAGAUACCCUUGUAGUC